GUGAUGUUGUGUCCUGUACAGGCAGGUGAGCAUCAUGGCGGGACUGUACUUGCUGACUCUCCUGGCGACGGUGGUGGCCGCUGGCACUCAUGUUUUGGCUGCCUGCGUCCUCGCUCCGGCCUGCGACCAGUUGACGCAGCCUCCUGACGCAAGGUGCUGCCUUGUCAACUUCCCAGGGAGCACCAACUGGGUGUACAACCCUGAGAGAGGCUUCUACCACCACACUGAGACUCUCUCCUCCGCCUGGGCACCUCUCACCAGCACUCAGCUCCGCCAGUAUGUCUCCGCUAACUACUCUCUCAUCUUUAGGUACGUGGUCCUUGUUGUGUCUCUAACACUC
Molecule: non-coding RNA, 340 nt
Organism: Procambarus clarkii (red swamp crayfish)
Lineage: Eukaryota; Metazoa; Arthropoda; Malacostraca; Decapoda; Cambaridae
Source: RefSeq, a predicted model, not a curated record